Molecule: ribosomal RNA, 491 nt
Filed under: uncultured bacterium
Lineage: Bacteria
Description: partial 16S ribosomal RNA
Rfam family: Bacterial small subunit ribosomal RNA
Source: RNAcentral
GUGAACGCUGGCGGUAGGCCUAACACAUGCACGUCGAACGGCAGCACAGUAAGAGCUUGCUCUUACGGGUGGCGAGUGGCGGACGGGUGAGGAAUACAUCGGAAUCUACUUUUUCGUGGGGGAUAACGUAGGGAAACUUACGCUAAUACCGCAUACGACCUACGGGUGAAAGCAGGGGAUCUUCGGACCUUGCGCGAUUGAAUGAGCCGAUGUCGGAUUAGCUAGUUGGCGGGGUAAAGGCCCACCAAGGCGACGAUCCGUAGCUGGCCUGAGAGGAUGAUCAGCCACACUGGAACUGAGACACGGUCCAGACUCCUACGGGAGGCAGCAGUGGGGAAUAUUGGACAAUGGGCGCAAGCCUGAUCCAGCCAUACCGCGUGGGUGAAGAAGGCCUUCGGGUUGUAAAGCCCUUUUGUUGGGAAAGAAAAGCAGCAGGUUAAUACCCCGCUGUUCUGACGGUACCCAAAGAAUAAGCACCGGCUAACUUCGUG